This 160-nucleotide ribosomal RNA is filed under the name uncultured bacterium. Its description in RNAcentral is "partial 16S ribosomal RNA". It matches the Rfam family "Bacterial small subunit ribosomal RNA", at positions 355 to 507 of the family's 1533-position model. The record is from RNAcentral.
UAGGGAAUCUUCCGCAAUGGACGAAAGUCUGACGGAGCAACGCCGCGUGAACGAUGAAGGCCUUCGGGUCGUAAAGUUCUGUUGUUAGGGAAGAACAAGUAUCGGAGUAACUGCCGGUACCUUGACGGUACCUAACCAGAAAGCCACGGCUAACUACGUG